RNAcentral lists this long non-coding RNA (202 nucleotides) under Physcomitrium patens. RNAcentral describes it as "long non-coding RNA (PPAT_LNC014295)". The record is from RNAcentral. Lineage: Eukaryota; Viridiplantae; Streptophyta; Bryopsida; Funariales; Funariaceae.
CCGUGUACAACUUCCUUCAUAUCUCACAAAGUAAUUAUUAAAAUACUAUGAAACUUUGAUCUAAAGCUUUUUAACCCAAUUACACACACUUGUAGAAAUUUUGAGCCAAAAAUUCAUCCAGAAACUCAAGAUAUGGCUUCACCCAUAACUAGCAACAAAUUGAUAUACUUACUGCCUUCAAAUUACAAGUGUUGUCUUCAAU